RNAcentral lists this small RNA (906 nucleotides) under Pongo abelii (Sumatran orangutan). RNAcentral describes it as "processed transcript". Lineage: Eukaryota; Metazoa; Chordata; Mammalia; Primates; Hominidae. The record is from RNAcentral.
AUUGCGGUGGUUAUGAAUCAUGUGACCUCCAGCUACAUGACUCCUGAACCAUAAUUCUAAUCUUGUAGCCAAUUUGUUAGUUUUACAAAAGUGGUUUUGGUCCCAGAGCAAGGAGGAGGUUUCCACAAAUGCUGUGGUCUGUUGUAGUCUGUUCAUGCUUACCAGCAAGAUGCUGAAAAGUAAACUUGAAACUCCAUUUAAUGAGAUGGGCUUGCAGACUUGUGGGCUUCACUGAGCAAAUACCAAAUCCCUGAAGGAUGGUCGCAGAGGUCCAGAACGUAGAGGGUCAGAACCUGCAGGAGCAGGUUUGCCCUGAGCCCAUUUUCAGGUUCUUCAGAGAAAACAAGGUGGAGAUUGCAAGUGCAAUAACAAGGCCAUUUCCUUUCCUUAUGGGCCUCCGAGACCGCUCCUUCAUCUCUGAGCAGAUGUAUGAACAUUUUCAAGAAGCUUUUAGAAACCUGGUCCCAGUGGCAAGAGUGAUGUAUUGUGUACUCAGUGAACUGGAGAAGACAUUUGGCUGGUCACAUCUGGAAGCAUUGUUCAGCAGGAUUAACCUGAUGGCCUAUCCUGAUUUAAACGAGAUUUACAGAAGCUUCCAAAAUGAAAAUUUAUCAUUCAGUGCAGUCCUGUGUCAACUUGUUUCUCCAAACAAAGACUGGAGAAGUCAUGAAGAGAGCCUAACACAUACUGGUACACUGAGGAGGAGCUGCAUGUGAAAGCUAUGAAGACAGAAAAGGGGGUUGGUGGAGGCCUUUCCGAACCAUGUGGUUGAAUCACAGACUGUGGGAGGGAGGGUGUGAGAGCUGACUCUGGAGAAAGAAGUUGAAGUGGAUUCUGGAGGGCUUGACACCCUGUGCUAAGGAAUCUGGAGUUUAGUUUUUGGAAAAUAAGCAAUAAAAGACAUUU